GAUUUGGAUUCUUCUUCUCGCCAAACUAUAUGUGUAUGGUGUAUUUCAAGAGACAUCGACGGCCCAGAAAUAAAUGUUUAUUUGCUGCGAUUGAACUAUCAUUCAAACAAUGACAAACAUGUUUAACCUUAUUUUUGUGGCUGUAGCAGCAACUUACAUGUGGAGAGAGAAGCACGUAUUCUUCCUUGUCCUUGAGGUUUGCAUUAUUGUAACUGGCAAAUUUUUUUUAUGUAAAUAAUCUUUUAUUUUUUAAAUGUAAUGUUUAGAACAUUGUGG
This is a long non-coding RNA of Prosopis cineraria, 276 nucleotides long. RefSeq lists it as uncharacterized. The transcript has 3 exons. The record is from RefSeq and is a predicted model, not a curated record. NCBI's taxonomy places the organism in Eukaryota, Viridiplantae, Streptophyta, Magnoliopsida, Fabales, Fabaceae.